RNAcentral lists this ribosomal RNA (602 nucleotides) under Candida tropicalis. RNAcentral describes it as "partial 26S ribosomal RNA". It matches the Rfam family "Eukaryotic large subunit ribosomal RNA", at positions 38 to 656 of the family's 3401-position model. Lineage: Eukaryota; Fungi; Ascomycota; Pichiomycetes; Serinales; Debaryomycetaceae. The record is from RNAcentral.
GCAUAUCAAUAAGCGGAGGAAAAGAAACCAACAGGGAUUGCCUUAGUAGCGGCGAGUGAAGCGGCAAAAGCUCAAAUUUGAAAUCUGGCUCUUUCAGAGUCCGAGUUGUAAUUUGAAGAAGGUAUCUUUGGGUCUGGCUCUUGUCUAUGUUUCUUGGAACAGAACGUCACAGAGGGUGAGAAUCCCGUGCGAUGAGAUGAUCCAGGCCUAUGUAAAGUUCCUUCGAAGAGUCGAGUUGUUUGGGAAUGCAGCUCUAAGUGGGUGGUAAAUUCCAUCUAAAGCUAAAUAUUGGCGAGAGACCGAUAGCGAACAAGUACAGUGAUGGAAAGAUGAAAAGAACUUUGAAAAGAGAGUGAAAAAGUACGUGAAAUUGUUGAAAGGGAAGGGCUUGAGAUCAGACUUGGUAUUUUGUAUGUUACUUCUUCGGGGGUGGCCUCUACAGUUUAUCGGGCCAGCAUCAGUUUGGGCGGUAGGAGAAUUGCGUUGGAAUGUGGCACGGCCUCGGUUGUGUGUUAUAGCCUUCGUCGAUACUGCCAGCCUAGACUGAGGACUGCGGUUUAUACCUAGGAUGUUGGCAUAAUGAUCUUAAGUCGCCCGUCUUG